CCCUAGGACGAUGGAAUAACAAAAUGCAAGGAGCCUGGAUCUCGGAGAACUUUGCAGAGAAGGGCUGCCGUGGCAGACUCUCAGGAGAGAAAACAGAUGCUCUUGUUUAACUGUGAUUUGCGGUCUCCUCGCUGCAGUGGUUCAGCUGACACCCAAACAAAUGCACUGAACCCACUAAGGGUCUUUCCCAGGAAUUUGGAAUGGAUACCCUGGGAAUUAGCUGUCAGGGGGUCCAAAGGUCAUGGCCACAGUCGGAGCCAUGGCCAGCCUAAACAGAGACGCUGGAUAAGCAGAGGAAGCCAGAGAGAGGAGCAUGAAGAGAGGUGCAGUGAGAAAAGAGCAGAGAAGAAAGAAGGUAGGGAGGGGGCUGCUGCCCCUCUCAAUGGCACCCCAGUCCCCGCACCCCAGUCCCAGGCACAGUUCCUGCAGAGCUCCGGAUGUAUCCUGCUGUUCGAUGUCAUAAAAUUGUCCUGUGUCCUUUCACUACUAUGACUGAGUUUCUCUUCUUUGCAACCAGCAGGGCACGCACGCCGGCUCCUCCCUUACCACCAGCCUGUCGCAUCUGGCUCUAGGCACGGUGAUGGUGUGAUGCUGGCCCAGAGCGGCCUCUCCCUCCCAACACACUGCUCCAGGCUCUGGGAACCCAGCGGCGGACAAGACACGUCAACAUUUAUCCUCAAGGGCAGUUACCACUGAUGAGGUGCCGCACGUGGGCGGGACUCUUCCGAGGCUCUUCUCUCCAUCUGUGCGGGUCAUGGUCUGCCGUGCUGGAGGCUGAGGGUUAGAAUCGAUAAGAUCGGUCCCUGCUCUCCUGGAACUUGAAGAGUCAGAGUGAAGGAUACAGGCAGAGAUAGAGGCAAGUUCAUGCUCUAAAGUGUUCUGCUGCAGGACCAGCUGGCUGGGAACCGCUCCCGGGCCUUUGUCUGAGGCGCUUCUCCUCUCUUGUCACGGCUGCGGGGCUGGGGGCAGUGACGAGCACCGGCCUGAGGGGGCUACUUCCUGGCCCUCACUCCAAGUCUGUGGUCUCAGGCCUGGAAGGCCCAGGUCACCAAACCAUGCAGGUGAACUCUAGACUCCUGGUUCUCCAGUUUGGGGCUGGCGCUGGGUGACCUGAACGGUUUUCCUGCCAUGGCAGAACAAUGCAAAGUUCAGGAAGGCCCUGCUUGCAUCGUCAGGGGAGCCCCAUGGCCCACCCAGCCCAUAUAAAAGGGAGGCUCAUGGGGGGCUGCCCCUGACCCUGGAAUUAGUAUCAACAGAGCCAGAGCAGGUGCCGGAGAGGAGGGAGCAGGGGCAGAGGCGGGCAGUGUCGCAGAGGCAUCAAGAUUUGACGCCUAGGGAGACCUUCAGGAAUGCCUUCUGGGGUGGGUGAGGGGAGCCGGGAUGCACGGUCAGGAACUCUCGCAGGUGGGAGGGAGACCGCAGAAUCAGAAGGGGCUUUGACCAUAGGAAACCCAGGGCCACCACGCUCACCCGAGGGUGCCACCCAGAGGCCUCACUCAUUCCUGGCAUGGGAGCCCUCCUGUAGCCGGGGCAGGACAGGGAGCUGCCCUUAGAGCUGGCCCGACAGGUUUACGGAAUAAUUACAGGGGCCCUGGUGUGGAGGUGUGGAGCCUGUUUGCAUAUGAUUUGCAUAUGAUUUGCACAUGAAUAGCCUGCGCUUUGGGUUCCCAGGCAGUUUUCAACUUAAAUAUUAAUUGUUGCUGCCCUUAGGGUUUUCAUUGGUUGGUUCUGUUUUCUCUGUUUCUUCUCACCCACUUGCUGUCAGUGACUCCGAUCUGUGUGUGUGUGUAUGUGUGUGUGUGUGUGUGUGUGUGAGAGAGAGAGAGAGAGAGCGGGGAAGCAGCCCAGGUGUGGAGGAUCAGGUGUCUACUAGGUGCAGAAAGCAGUAGCCGCGCAAAGCAACAAACCAGCCAAUGAUGCUAAAGAAACUUCCGGAUUCCUCCCGGGCCCAGCAGGACCUCCUCUCUGGUGGUGAUGUGGGACGUGUGGCCCCCAGCCCCGGCUGCGGCGCAGUACCAGACUCAGCAAUCGCCUGCCAGCCUGCCCGCCCCAGCCCUCGCCUGCCCCCCAGAUCUGCCAGCUCCUGCCCGCUCUGUCACCAGAGGCCCAUCCACACGCGGCACGGAGACAGGGAAAGGUGAGGCUGUGCAGAGCAGCAUUUAGCUCACAGGCUCUGAGGCCGACUGUGCCGCAUCUGGAUCUUGGCUCUGUAUCCUAAGUAACUUUGCAACUCUGGGCAACUGACUGACCACCCUCGCGCCCCAGGUUCCUCUUCUGUAAAACAGAGUGACCCAGAGUGCCUGCCUCAUUGUGAGGUGGGGACGAGGCCUGCGUGUGGAGCCCCUGGCCCUGGGCCUCCCUGGUACACAGACUGUGCUCCCUGCCGCUGAGCUGCAGACAUCCCACCCCAGGUGUGGGUCACCUGGUCCCAGCCUUGCCCAGUGCGGGACAUCCCAUGCCAGCACGGCAUCAUUUGGCUUUGGUGCCAACGUCCCCUGAGACGGAGGCUCACUCCUGUUCUCCUGAGGGCUGUUCCCAGCACACACACGAUAACCCCGUUAAAGGACCCUUAGAAGGGAGCUCAGAGCUUUUCCAGGAGCUGGCCUCUGUGCCCGGCUCUCAUCCGGAGAAAGGACUUCCUUGGGCGGCCCCUCGGCUCCCUGCAAGUCGACUCGAGUCUGGUGUCUGGGGUCCUGCAGCCCGCAGCUCCCCUUCUCUCUGAGAGCCCAGGAAAAAUUGCAGGAUGUGCUCCCUUCUUGCGCCUUCUCAACCCAAGCUGCUUAGACCGAGCACCUUGCUCUUGCCCCAGAACAAGGUGGGACACCAGAGUGUCUCUGAGCCACUGACACAGGCCUCUUGGAGCUUUUCUCCUCCAGCACCUGACUGGGUCCGUAGAGUCCUCCUGGGAAGCGUGACGAGCAGCCUGAGGUUGGCUGAGGAUGGCGGCCACUGCUCAGUGCGCCAGGCAACAUGCUGCGGGCUCUAAAUACACGCGCUCGAAGGGGUAAGUGCUACUAUUAUUCCCAUUUCACGGCUGUGGGAAGCGAGGCUUAGAAAAGCUAAGGAAUGUGCCCCGAAUGGCUCGGCUCUUACGCUGGGGAGCCUGGUGGUGAUGCCGACAGGCUGGCUCCAGACACUGGCUGCUACCAGCUGCAGGACUACUUCUCUAAAGGCAUUUUUCUCAUAACUGGGUUUUCUUCUCUUUUUCUUCUGUAAGAGGUGACUGGCUCAAGAGAUGAAUCCUUCUAGAAUCUGCCUGUCUCCGUAUCUGUGUUGUAAGCACGAUUUGGGUAUGCAGCGAGCAAUGGUCUUUAUUUCUUUGGGCUUCACUUAUAGAUCUGAGGUCUUGAGUUGACCUUGGGGCGCCCUUAUCUAGAGGGGUGGCUACACAACACCCCCCUCCCACCAGGCAUCUCAGCACCUCUGAGCCAAGGGCACAACGAUUCCCCUCUCAUAAGCUCCAACCCAGAUUUCUCCUCCUCCUUCCAUGUUACCAUCAUAAAACCUGCUCACACCGGCUCCACCCCAGGCCCCCUUUCACCAGCCCCGAUGCUGGGGUCCUGACCUCCCAGAAAAAUGCAACUUCCGGAGAGCACUCUGGGCUCAGCAGUCUGUGAGCUUUUCCCCCCCAGGGGUGAAGAAUCAAGGCCCCACUUAAGUCAUAAAAUCACCUCUGAUGACCAUGACCUUAUUAGAACUGCAUCCAAAUGUGGUGUUCCCACUAAGCUCAGAAGAAAGGUCCAGAAAUUUCUGCAAAACUUCAGCCAUGCUUGGGGAGUGGGGGGACAUCGUUAGGAAAACGGCGAACAAAGUUGUUAUUUUCCUCAUAUCUCCAAGGAAACAGCUCGAGAGUAGGGCUCUUACCCAAAACGUCAGGAGCUUGUGACAUGUGAGGAGGAUGGGUUGAUUCUGACUGUAUUGUGAGGACCCAAGGAAUGGCUGAAUUUUUCUUUGAAAAUCCAAGAGACAGCACCUGGGAAGAGGAGGCCACAUAUUCAUAGUCUUAUUUACCUGGACAGGGCAUAGCUAUUGGUCAGCAAGGCUGCUGAUUGGGGAGGUUAGAAGUUCAAAAAUCGCCCAUUCGAGUGCCAUCCGUAUCCUGUCUGGAGAAUUCCAGGAGCAGCCUGGGAACGAUGGAGACCUGCUUCCAGCUCCCUCUCUGUCUUCAGCUUCCCCUCUCUGGUCCUCAGUCUCUGCAAAAUAAAGAGGUAGGCCUAUAUCUUCAGUUUCCAAACUUUUAAAACAGCAGUGGCUUCUCUUUAAAAAAAAAAAAUCUCUUGUGAAAGUCCAAAGUAUAUGACAGAUCAAAGAGCAGCAGCUUUGGCUGAGUUUUCUGGGGAUGGUUCCCUCAGGGCCCUGGGAAAUCUGACAGGUCAGUCUGGGAACCUCUCCCUACCUGAGCUCUAGGUGCCCAUCAGCUCCAGGGAAAACAAAGGAGACUCUCGUUCCUGGGGCUUGGACUUAGCCCAGGGAACUUGGCCUUGACCUUGGAUGGGCGAAGCAGCUGGAGUGCACUGUGGAAAGAAUUUUACGGCAUGACAUUUGGUGGUCUUUUCCCUUUCUUUCCUUUCACCUUUUCUCCCACUUUCCCAGUUCUUUUCCUUCUCCC
Molecule: long non-coding RNA, 4609 nt
Organism: Aethalodelphis obliquidens (Pacific white-sided dolphin)
Lineage: Eukaryota; Metazoa; Chordata; Mammalia; Artiodactyla; Delphinidae
Exons: 2
Source: RefSeq, a predicted model, not a curated record